RNAcentral lists this ribosomal RNA (492 nucleotides) under uncultured bacterium. Its description in RNAcentral is "partial 16S ribosomal RNA". It matches the Rfam family "Bacterial small subunit ribosomal RNA", at positions 29 to 507 of the family's 1533-position model. The record is from RNAcentral.
AGUGAACGCUGGCGGUAGGCCUAACACAUGCAAGUCGAACGGCAGCACAGUAAGAGCUUGCUCUUACGGGUGGCGAGUGGCGGACGGGUGAGGAAUACAUCGGAAUCUACUUUUUCGUGGGGGAUAACGUAGGGAAACUUACGCUAAUACCGCAUACGACCUACGGGUGAAAGCAGGGGAUCUUCGGACCUUGCGCGAUUGAAUGAGCUGAUGUCGGAUUAGCUAGUUGGCGGGGUAAAGGCCCACCAAGGCGACGAUCCGCAGCUGGUCUGAGAGGAUGAUCGGCGACCCGGGAGCUGGGACACGGUCCAGACGCCUACGGGAGGCAGCAGUGGGGAAUAUUGGACAGUGGGCGGAAGCAUGAUCCAGCCAUACCGAGUGGGUGAAGAAGGCCUUCGGGUUGUAAAGCCCUUUUGUUGGGAAAGAAAAGCAGCAGGUUAAGACCCCGCUGUUCUGACGGUACCCAGAGAAUAAGCACCGGCUAACUUCGUG